GGAGGAGACAGCAACGGCGUGGGGACUGGGCUGUGAGGAGGAGUGGACAGUGCAGGCGGGACUGGGGGUCACACGGGCCUGGUCAGAGUCACUUUCCCUGUCUGGGCCUCAGUUUGUAGAAUGGGGGUAACAGUGCUCUCCCCUGAGCUUUGGAAAACUAAGUGUUAUAUGCUGAUGAGCACCCCUCAGGGCGGAGGCUGUGCCCGCAGGAGUCUGUGGUGGGAAGAGGCUGGGAUGGAUUAGGACCAGAUGGGCAUCCAUGGAAGAGGCACUUGCCUCCGUGUGACUGGUGAGGAAAGUGAGUCCGGAGUCCUGGUGUGAUUUGUUAAAGGGGAGCACAGCAGGGUGAACAAGUGUAUCUGGGGGAGCUGGGUUAAAACUUUUCUGGCAUUUCUGUUGUCAUCCAGCUCCGACGACACCACACGGGGAACGCUGAGCAGCACUGCCCAUGGGAAGGGCCCUGGCCUCUGAAAGGUACCAGGGACGCACAUCUCUUGGCAGCUCUAGAAUGGGUCCGAAGCCAAACCAGGGACAGUCUCUCUACCCGUCUGUAUCAGAUGAGGACCAUUGGAUUAAAGUUGUGAAUUCUCUCUGGACGUCAAUAAAUAUGGAAAUGCCAUUGGGGAGGUAAGUAUCAACAAGUCAGACUGAUCCCAAAAGGGGACCUCUUAAAACUUUUGUGCAGCUGGCUGCCCCAAAACUCAGCCUGAAGGGACGAGUGGAAGGACAAGGUGUAGAAUACAAAAGCAUGGCAUGGCAUUUACUAAGCAUACCGUGUAUCAGGUCUAUAACCGUUUUACUGACAAGCACACAGGCCCAGCUAAGGCAAGCAACAUUUCGUAGGUAGAACAGCAUAGAAGUAGAGGAGCCAGGAUUUGAACCAGGCCUGCCUAGCUCUGAAGCUAGAUUUAUAAGCUUUCAACUCCAGGUCCAUGGGUCACGCUAAGUUGCCUCCUCUUAGACAGGCAGUUGGGUUCUGGCUCUGACUCUCCUAACUCUCUGAGAUUGAGCAGCCAGUGCCCCUAACUGUGCCUGGAUUUUCCUCUCUGUAAAGUAGCUGUAGACUUCGUAGGUCCCCCAGCCAUUUGCCUUUGUGGGGAAACUCUUUUCUCUGUGGCCACCAGAGGGCACUGUGGCCUCAAUGGCUUCAUCAGACCCGCCUUUGUAGCCUCAAGUCCAGUAGAAGGACAUAGGGAACUCUUAAAUCACCUCCUUUAUAACUGAGCACGCAUACACACAGAUCACCACCUUCCCCCCAUUUUACAGAUAAGUAGACUGCAACCAAAAGAAGGACCAUGGAUUUGGAAGAUGGAGUCCAGGCUGAGAAGGUGAGCACAGCCCUUAGCCCAGAAGUGUGACAUUCUGCUAAUAUUGAUUAAUUAAUUAACAGGGUCUUCCCUGCCCCAGUCCCCAGUUUGGGCUCUCAGACACAGACCUGGCACUUCUCCUUAAGAGCUUUUCAGUCUGUGGGAAAGAGAUAGACAGGCAGGCCCACCAUGACUACUAUUCCCAAACUCCAGGGAGCCCAGGGAAGCCCUGACUAGCAUGAUUUAGCACCUCUGACUAUAUGACAUCCUGAGAGAUGGGUGCAUCAUCCC
Long non-coding RNA from Bos mutus (wild yak), 1598 nucleotides. Lineage: Eukaryota; Metazoa; Chordata; Mammalia; Artiodactyla; Bovidae. The record is from Ensembl.